AGUGAGAUAGCUGGGUCAAAGGUGGUUCCAUUCCAAGUUUUCUAAGGAAUCUCCAUACUGCUUUCCAGAGUGGUUGCACCAAUUUGCAGUCCCACCACUAAU
Molecule: microRNA precursor, 102 nt
Filed under: Marmota monax (woodchuck)
Lineage: Eukaryota; Metazoa; Chordata; Mammalia; Rodentia; Sciuridae
Source: RNAcentral